This 1247-nucleotide long non-coding RNA is filed under the name Oncorhynchus kisutch (coho salmon). RNAcentral's name for it is "lncRNA (ENSOKIG00005043046.1)". Lineage: Eukaryota; Metazoa; Chordata; Actinopteri; Salmoniformes; Salmonidae. The record is from RNAcentral.
UCUGUUACUCUAUCUAUACCCACCCUCUCUGUCUGUUACUCUAUCUAUACCCACUCCCUCUCUGUUACUCUAUCUAUACCCACUCCCUCUAUGUCUGUUACUCUAUCUAUACCCACUCCCUCUCUCUCUAUUACUCUAUCUAUACCCACUCUCUCUCUCUGUACUCAUCUAUACCCACUCCCUCUCUGUCUGUUACUCUAUCUAUACCCACUCCCUCUCUCUGUUACUCUAUCUAUACCCACUCCCUCUCUGUCUGUUACUCUAUCUAUACCCACUCCCCCUCUGUUACUCUAUCUAUACCCACUCCUCUCUGUCUGUUACUCUAUCUAUACCCACUCCCUCUCUCUGUUACUCUAUCUAUACCCACUCCCUCUCUGUCUGUUACUCUAUCUAUACCCACUCCCCCUCUGUUACUCUAUCUAUACCCACUCCCUCUCUGUCUGUUACUCUAUCUAUACCCACUCAUUCUCUCUGUUACUCUAUCUAUACCCACUCCCUCUCUGUCUGUUACUCUAUCUAUACCCACUCCCUCUCUGUCUAUUACUCUAUCUAAACUCACUCCUUCUGUCUGUUACUAUAUCUUAUCUAUACCCACUCCCUCUUUCUCUGUUACUCUAUCUAUAUCCACUCCCUCUCUCUCUCUGUUACUCUAUCUAUACCCACUCCCUCUCUCUCUGUUACUCUAUCUAUACCCACUCCCUCUCUCUUUUACUCUAUCUAUACCCACUCCCUCUCUCUGUUACUCUAUCUAUACCCACUCCCUCUCUCUCUGUUACUCUAUCUAUACCCAGUCCCUCUCUCUGUUACCCUAUCUAUACCCAGUUCCUCUCUCUGUUACUUGAUCUAUACCCACUCCCUCUCUCUCUGUUACUCUAUCUAUACCCACUAUCUCUCUCUCUAUUACUCUAUCUAUACCCACUCCCUCUCUCUCUAUUACUCUAUCUAUACCCACUCCCUCUCUCUCUCUGUUACUCUAUCUAUACCCACUCCCUCUCUCUGUUACUCUAUCUAUACCCACUCCCUCUCUCUGUUACUCUAUCUAUACCCACUCCCUCUCUCUAUUACUCUAUCUAAACUCACUCCCUCUGUCUGUUACUAUAUCUAUCUAUACCCACUCCCUCUUUCUCUGUUACUCUAUCUAUAUCCACUCCCUCUCUCUCUGUUACUCUGUCUAUACCCCACUCCCUCUCUCUCUGUUACUAUAUCUAUACCCACUCCCUCUCUCUCUAUUACUCUAUCUAUACCCA